CGUAGGGGGCGAGCGUUGUCCGGAUUUAUUGGGCGUAAAGCGCGUGUAGGCGGCCGGCUAGGUCUGGUGUGAAAACUCGAGGCUCAACCUCGAGAUGUCGCCGGAAACCAGUCGGCUAGAGUCCGGAAGAGGAGAGUGGAAUUCCUGGUGUAGCGGUGAAAUGCGCAGAUAUCAGGAAGAACACCUAUGGCGAAAGCAGCUCUCUGGGACGGUACUGACGCUGAGACGCGAAAGCGUGGGGAGCGAACAGGAUUAGAUACCCUGGUAGUCCACGCCGUAAACGAUGGGCGCUAGGUGUGGCGGUGUCGACUCCGUCCGUGCCGAAGCUAACGCAUUAAGCGCCCCGCCUGGGGAGUACGGCCGCAAGGCUA
Molecule: ribosomal RNA, 371 nt
Filed under: uncultured organism
Description: bacterial SSU rRNA
Rfam family: Bacterial small subunit ribosomal RNA
Source: RNAcentral